This is a non-coding RNA of Cordylochernes scorpioides, 72 nucleotides long. The record is from the annotation of a GenBank genome assembly. Lineage: Eukaryota; Metazoa; Arthropoda; Arachnida; Pseudoscorpiones; Chernetidae.
UCUCACGUGGUCUAGUGGCUAGUAUAUCUAGCUUUAACCUAGAAGGCCCGGUUUCAAUUCCUGGCGUGGGAU